GUUUGCCUAAAACACAUAAAACAUUUUAUACAAUAUUUUAUUUAUUUAAAUGAUGUUAAAUUAAUUUUUUUGACUAUACUUAGUAUUUGUAACCUGUAAUACACCAAAUCCUGUCACAAAAAGUACAUUAUUACAAUAUUGGAUUUUGUCACGAUCUCGCUGGCAGAUGGCGCUGUGGCGGCGAUGUUCACGGAAAGCCGGAGGGCGCGUGCGUGUACGAACCAGAGCGAGCACAUGCUCGCGGGUUACAUAGGAACCAUGGAGACUUUGUUUACAAUGGCCAUGGGCGUUUGCUUCUGUUUUGUCUCCGCCUUGUUUAGUUAUUGGUGGAUAUUCGAGGGCGCGUCUCGGUUGUUACCAGCUGUCAGCGUUUAAGGUAAAUGACAUUAGUUAUUUAAACCCCUCACGUUACCUCGCACUUGGCGCAGUAUUGAAGGUUUAAAGGAGUUAAAUGUGUAAUGGUGCCACGCGGUAGUGUUUCCAUGCCCUGCUCUGGUUUCAUGCCUCGGUUCUAGGCAAGUGUGCCAUGUGAUAGUGUUUCCAGGUCCUGUUCUAGUUGAAUGUUUGGACCUCGUUUCCUGUUUCUUGUACAUUGACUUUAGUUUUAAAUAAAUACUUGCACCUGCACUUGCUUCCUGUUGGAGUCUGUACGUAACAGAUUUACAAUUAAAAAAGUACAUAAGUGAAAUUAUGAAGGUGAAAAACCCAUGAAUUAUUAUUAAAAUUUCAUUAAUUAUUAUGAUGAUUUAUCACAAUCAUAAUGUAAAAAAAUGGGUGAUUGGGGAGAGAAAGUGCAGGUAAUAUUUUAUUGUAAAUAAACAAUUUCCUUGUUUUACAAGAAAUAUACAAGAAAAUUAUUAUCAUUUUAACUUUUACAUUUAGUCAUUUGGCACUUAGCUGACAUUAAAUUAGAUCAAACAGUGUAUUGGUAUAUAGUAUAGAUGUUAUAUCAUUUGUUCUCUUUUAAUCACUUACAGGAAGAACAGUUUGUAAAUGUAUUCCUCUCUCGCUGUGAUGAUGCGGGUUUCAUGUGAUUCUCACCCAAGAACAGAUUUCUAAUAAUAUACAGAUGAUUAUUAGCAUGUCUGUUAAGCGCUAGAAAAAUCUAAAAGACUUUUAUAUAUUUAAUAGUUGUUGUUUUUUUAGCAGUAUAAUUUUUUGUUAAAAUCUACAAAAAUCCCAAUCUAAAAUGCAAAUCAGAGUUUAUACAUAACAUCACACACAUUAACUUUCGACUCAAUCUAAAGUCCAGGCUGUCUCCAGACUAUCAGCGUAAGCUGAGAGAAUCCCUCACUCACAGGGAGGUGUAGAUGUAGACGAAUAUGAUGACGAGGAGAUUCAGGACGGUGCAAGCGAUCCCAAGGAACGCCAGGAUGGACUCUUCUCGGCUCUCGCUCUUCUGUUUCGGUGGCUCAUCGUGACCCACGGCAUGAUUUAGCAUGUUCCUGUGACGAGGAGUGAACAAUCGCCUCCUAAAGCCUCUCUGCAGAAGAGUAACACUGAGUAUCAUAACUGUCGAAUUCGCGUUAAUGUGUGAUACUAAUAAUAACACCACAUACUCUACAUGCACACAUAUUAUAUCUACUAUACUACAGGUAGAGUACUGUAACGCUCUAUACAUUAUAUCUACUAUACUACAGGUAGAGUACUG
This is a long non-coding RNA of Ictalurus punctatus (channel catfish), 1651 nucleotides long. Lineage: Eukaryota; Metazoa; Chordata; Actinopteri; Siluriformes; Ictaluridae. The record is from Ensembl.